CGCGCCCCGCGCCCGUACCGCCGCCUCCGACCGCUUACGGGAGGCAGCAGUGGGGAAUAUUGCCCAAUGGGCGCAAGCCUGAUCCAUCCAUGCCGCGUGAGUCAUGAAGGCCCUAGGGUUGUAAAGCUCUUUCACCGGUGAAGAUAAUGACGGUAACCGGAGAAGAAGCCCCGUCCUAAUUUCUGUGCCAGCAGCCGCGGUAAUACGAAGGGGGCUAGCGUUGUUCGGAUUUACUGGGCGUAAAGCGCACGUAGGCGGACUUUUAAGUCAGGGGUGAAAUCCCGGGGCUCAACUCCGGAUCUGCCUUUGAUACUGGAAGUCUUGAGUAUGGUAGAGGUGAGUGAAAUUCCGAGUGUAGAGGUGAAAUUCGUAGAUAUUCGAAGGACCCCCAGUGGCGAAGGCGGCUCCCUGGCCCAUUACUGCCGCUGAGGUGCGCAAAGCGUGGGAGCACGCAGAACAGCGAUUAGAUACCCUGGUAGUCCACGCCGUAAACGAUG
This 497-nucleotide ribosomal RNA is filed under the name uncultured bacterium. RNAcentral describes it as "bacterial SSU rRNA". It matches the Rfam family "Bacterial small subunit ribosomal RNA", at positions 106 to 811 of the family's 1533-position model. The record is from RNAcentral.